Molecule: long non-coding RNA, 627 nt
Organism: Drosophila teissieri
Lineage: Eukaryota; Metazoa; Arthropoda; Insecta; Diptera; Drosophilidae
Exons: 2
Source: RefSeq, a predicted model, not a curated record
AGAGCAAGAAACAUAGUUAGUUUCCCAUUAACCUUUUUAAAUGAACGGCAACCAGUUUAAAUAGCUAUAUAAAAUGAGAUUUAAACUUGGGGUAAAAUAUUCCAUAAACCGACGAGGAUGGGAUUCGAACCCACGCGUGCAGAGCACAUUGGAUUAGCAGUCCAACGCCUUAACCUCUCGGCCACCUCGUCACUUUCUUUUCGACGAAUUCGAAGACCUUUUCGUACACUCCGUACUCCCACUUUCUUCGCUCGACCAACUAUCUAUCUGUAGAAAAAGUCUGCGAAGAAGUGAGGUGAGUGUGCGAAUGAGAGUUACGAUUAAGCGGAAUAUUUCUUAUCGAAUUUAGAAACUGCGACUGAGUCGUAGAUUUCGCUCAGAUGAUAACUGGUUUCAGCUCGAAACUUGAGUGAAUGCUUCACUCCAGCUGCGUUUGCUUAGGCCUUAUUUAAUUUAUGGUUAGAUAAUGAAUAAAUUAGGUGCCAACAAAGGUCGCAGAAGAUUCAGCACGAAAGGCAUUAAACAACUUUUUUUCAUAAUUCUGACCAUUUUGCAAAUUGUAUUAUAAACCAUGAUAAGAUAACGUAUAAAAUACAGCAAAUAUAACAUUUAAACUUUCAAAAAUAA